UCUUGAGCUUCUUCAGGUAGACCGGCCGUGUGCUCUCGGUGACGGGCCCCGGCGAGAAGCCGAGUCGCCUCAGCUCGGAGAAAAGCUCCUCGUCGUUUAGAUUAUGCACAGCACCCAAGAAUCAACACUUGUCAAGAAGCGAGUCAUCCAGUUCCAUUAUGCUGUUGUUACAUGACAGUUGUGAAUAGUCCUCUUUUAUGCAGUGAUCGGAGAUUACUCCAUGUCUGCAAAGCUUUCUAUUUUCCUGAUCUGAGAAAGAGCAGCCACAAGAAGGAAUAAGAAUAGGAUGCAUUGUUUAUACAUCUAUAUUAGCUACUCGGUCUCAGGAUAUCUCCUGAAGGUAUAGGAGGCCUCUACCUUGCUGGAGCUAAGCAGGUCUGGGUUUGGGCAAUGCCUGGAAGGGUGAGCAUUUGUGUGAUGCUUUGAAAAUGCUAAUAACAGAUAUUGGGCUGUCACUGUUUGCAGAAAUCUUAGCUCAGCAUAGGAGCUUUCAUUCAGGAAUUGAUCCAUCCAUCAGUUAAAUCCACAGAUUUGCAUAUGAAUAAAAUACAUCUGAGAUAAA
This is a long non-coding RNA of Lacerta agilis (Sand lizard), 562 nucleotides long. RefSeq lists it as uncharacterized. The transcript is spliced from 2 exons. Lineage: Eukaryota; Metazoa; Chordata; Lepidosauria; Squamata; Lacertidae. The record is from RefSeq and is a predicted model, not a curated record.